RNAcentral lists this transfer RNA (73 nucleotides) under Camelus bactrianus (Bactrian camel). It matches the Rfam family "tRNA". From Rfam's summary of the family: Transfer RNA (tRNA) molecules are approximately 80 nucleotides in length. Lineage: Eukaryota; Metazoa; Chordata; Mammalia; Artiodactyla; Camelidae. The record is from Rfam by way of RNAcentral. RNAcentral also lists the same sequence under 2 other names.
GGGGUUAUAGCUCAGUGGUAAGAGUGCAUGCUUAGCAUGCAGGAUGUCCUGGGUUCAAUCCCCAGUCCCUCCA